This 390-nucleotide long non-coding RNA is filed under the name Struthio camelus australis. RNAcentral's name for it is "lncRNA (ENSSCUG00000000202.1)". The record is from RNAcentral. Lineage: Eukaryota; Metazoa; Chordata; Aves; Struthioniformes; Struthionidae.
GGCGGGCCGCCGCGCAAGAACCUGGAGGUCAUGAAGGAGGCCAUGGUGGAGGCCAACGAGGUGGUGGCUGAAGUCAAGAAGAAGCAGGAGAAGAAAGAGAAGAAGAAGAAGAAGCGUGAGAAGCGGCGGCUGGAGGCGCUGGCUGCGGCUGCGGAGGAGAUGGAGAACUCGGUGCUGGAGACAGAGGAAAACGAGACAGAGCCCAAGAAAAAGAAGAAGAAAAAGAAGCAGCAGCUGGAGGCUGCCUCAGAGCCAGAGGAGAACGGGCUGGAGGAAGAGGCCUUGCCCAAGAAGAAAAGGAAACUAGCAGGAGAGACUGUCCAGCUGGACAAAAAGAAGAAGAAAAAGGCCAAGGAUUUGGAGGAGGAUUAGGGAAGCAGGGAGGAGCUG